UUCCCCGCCGGAUCCGACACCGGAACAGAUUCUCUCAGGUGACGACAGCUUGAAGAACCAGAGGCGACGGGAGCGGAGGCGGCGGUGGCGGCGGCAGCAGCGGCGUCCGGCUCUGCCUACCUCCCCGCCGCCAUCUUGACGCCCCUCCCCCAACCCCCCCGCCCCACGGGGAGGGGGUGGGGCGACGGAUGAGGCGCCGCGCGCACGCAGCGCGCGCCGCGCGACCCACGUGACUUCCUCCCUCCCCCCAACACCCUACUCCCUAGCACUCCUCUCCGCCCCGCCUCCGUCCUAGGUGAAGGAAGAUGAUUUCCACCCCCCCAUGACUGCCCCCUGCCUUCGCCGCCAAGCACGAACUCCGUCGCUCCCGCCGACCGGGUACCAGUGGUUGGAUCCAAGGGAAUUCCGGAACCCAAACGGUCCAUUACCGCGGCUCCCGGGUGGGCGAGGGGUGAGGGGGCCGGGUUUCCGAGAAGGGGGAGGGGGGGAAGGCGAAGGCCGCCUAGGAGAGUCACGUGUCUACUGCUUCCGCCGGGGCUCGAAAGACGUCGCGAGAGUUCCGUUCCUCCGCCCUUUCGCCCCCGCGGGCUGUCGGGAAGAAGGGAAUUUGGAGAUAGACAUGCAGAAGAGGAGAACAGCAUGUGAAAAUGAAGCCAGAGGUCGGGGUGAUGCUUCAACAAGUCAAGAAAGCCAGCCUGCCGCCAGGAGUUAGGAGAAAAACAUGGAAGAGAAUCUUCCAAACAGUUCCUCAGCAGGAACCAACCCUGCCAGGACCUUGGUUUUGGACUUCCAGCCUCUAGAACCAUGAGGCAUCUGUCUUAUUUGCCACUGCGUCCUUGGGGAAUCGGAC
Molecule: long non-coding RNA, 850 nt
Organism: Bos taurus (domestic cattle)
Lineage: Eukaryota; Metazoa; Chordata; Mammalia; Artiodactyla; Bovidae
Source: Ensembl